GAUGAACGCUGGCGGCGUGCCUAAUACAUGCCAGUCGAGCGAACAGAUGAGGAGCUUGCUCCUCUGACGUUAGCGGCGGACGGGUGAGUAACACGUGGAUAACCUACCUAUAAGACUGGGAUAACUUCGGGAAACCGGAGCUAAUACCGGAUAAUAUAUUGAACCGCAUGGUUCAAUAGUGAAAGACGGUUUUGCUGUCACUUAUAGAUGGAUCCGCACCGCAUUAGCUAGUUGGUAAGGUAACGGCUUACCAAGGCAACGAUGCGUAGCCGACCUGAGAGGGUGAUCGGCCACACUGGAACUGAGACACGGUCCAGACUCCUACGGGAGGCAGCAGUAGGGAAUCUUCCGCAAUGGGCGAAAGCUUGACGGAGCAACGCCGCGUGAGUGAUGAAGGUCUUCGGAUCGUAAAACUCUGUUAUUAGGGAAGAACAAAUGUGUAAGUAACUAUGCACGUCUUGACGGUACCUAAUCAGAAAGCCACGGCUAACUACGUG
Molecule: ribosomal RNA, 497 nt
Filed under: uncultured bacterium
Lineage: Bacteria
Description: partial 16S ribosomal RNA
Rfam family: Bacterial small subunit ribosomal RNA
Source: RNAcentral